CCUCCAUCAAACCCUAGUUUCCGUAUCCAACGUUUGACCGUUCGUAUUAUUUAAAAAAAUUAAAAAGAUAAGUCACGCAUAAAGUAUUAAUCAUGUUUUAUCAUCUAACAACAAUGAAAAUACUAAUUAUAAAAAAAUUCAUAUAAUACGGACAGUCAAACGUUGACACCUUGGCACGAAAAUCAGGGUUUGCCUUUAUU
This is a non-coding RNA of Oryza glumipatula, 200 nucleotides long. The record is from Rfam. Lineage: Eukaryota; Viridiplantae; Streptophyta; Magnoliopsida; Poales; Poaceae.